CAUUAACCCGAUCAUGUGACCGGAUGCUCCGGAAACACAUCACCUACUUUGUGUGACUAUACACUGGUAAAAGCUGCACCAGUUUGUAUUUUUAAGUUUAGCAUCCAUUUCACCUUCUAUUGUGUUUUUUGUACUUUUCUAGUCACGAAAGAAAGUUUGGUCUGCAAAUAUGUUAUUUUUCUUAAAUAAACAAAAUUGGCGAGAUCAUGCAUGUGAAAAAAUUGAGAAAGAGAACUCUGUGGCAGAACCUUUAAUAAUCCUAAG
Molecule: non-coding RNA, 264 nt
Organism: Pelobates cultripes (western spadefoot toad)
Lineage: Eukaryota; Metazoa; Chordata; Amphibia; Anura; Pelobatidae
Source: the annotation of a GenBank genome assembly